GUUUUGCUGUUGGCGGGUGGAUCACGAUGCAAUUUUGAUUAGUUUGAUAGGAGAAAAAUUGCACGGUAUCCAUCUGUAAACCGCAGGAC
Molecule: microRNA precursor, 89 nt
Filed under: Sorex araneus (European shrew)
Lineage: Eukaryota; Metazoa; Chordata; Mammalia; Eulipotyphla; Soricidae
Description: microRNA 363 (ENSSARG00000014634.1)
Rfam family: mir-363 microRNA precursor family (bases 6-85)
Source: RNAcentral